CUUCCCGUUACUUUCGAUUCCUGUCACCAGGGGCCUCUCUGUGAAGUGUUUCAAACAUGGCGUCCCCCAGUAGCACCAGCACUCUGCGCGACUCGCAUGACAAUUCACCGUGGUUUUUGUUCCAGGAAAGGCUAGACCACCUGUCCAGCCAGCUUGUUCGGCGAGUGGCUGGGUACGUAGCUGGCUGAAAAUGCUGCCUGUGCACAUAGUUGAGAGCACAAGCAAGGCAGCAGUACAUGCAUUAUAAAUUGUUAAGAUAUAAGGUUACAGACUUGCAAAUCACUGAUCACCUUGGUUCAAUUAGUAAUUACAGUUGGUACUACUGUGAAGCUGAACCCAUUUUGCAGCCAAGUCUGACAAAUUGAAAAAAUUUAAAAGAUGAAAUCUUCAACAUGCACUUACAUUAGUCUAUUUUUUCUCCUCUCUGAGCAACAUGCUAGUGUGAGCCUUUCAACUAUAAUACUAUUAGUGGUUGCUUCUCACUGGUGUUGAGCAAUUUUGUUUUUGGUGUGGAAGACUAAGCCUUUUUCUUUUGGUUGCAUUGUGUAUUGCAGUUUUUACCAUGUCACCCAAGAAGUAGAGUAAUUACUGUUUAAGAAUAGACAUACUGAGAUGCAUAUAUACAUUGUUGAAUGUAAUUUCUGGUUGUGCAAUAAAAAUGCAUCUUUUUCAUAAAAGAA
RNAcentral lists this long non-coding RNA (680 nucleotides) under Dermacentor andersoni. RNAcentral's name for it is "uncharacterized LOC126518029". Lineage: Eukaryota; Metazoa; Arthropoda; Arachnida; Ixodida; Ixodidae. The record is from RNAcentral.